UACGAAGGGGGCUAGCGUUGCUCGGAAUUACUGGGCGUAAAGGGCGCGUAGGCGGACAGUUUAGUCAGAGGUGAAAGCCCAGGGCUCAACCUUGGAAUUGCCUUUGAUACUGGCUGUCUUGAGUUCGGGAGAGGUGAGUGGAAUGCCGAGUGUAGGUGAAAUUCGUAGAUAUUCGGCGGAACACCAGUGGCGAAGGCGACUCACUGGCCCGAUACUGACGCUGAGGCGCGAAAGCGUGGGGAGCAAACAGG
This 251-nucleotide ribosomal RNA is filed under the name uncultured bacterium. RNAcentral describes it as "partial 16S ribosomal RNA". It matches the Rfam family "Bacterial small subunit ribosomal RNA", at positions 524 to 776 of the family's 1533-position model. The record is from RNAcentral.